RNAcentral lists this ribosomal RNA (253 nucleotides) under uncultured bacterium. RNAcentral describes it as "partial 16S ribosomal RNA". It matches the Rfam family "Bacterial small subunit ribosomal RNA", at positions 524 to 776 of the family's 1533-position model. The record is from RNAcentral.
UACGAAGGGGGCUAGCGUUGUUCGGAAUUACUGGGCGUAAAGCGCGCGCAGGCGGCUAUCCAAGUCAGUGGUGAAAGCCCGGAGCUCAACUCCGGAACUGCCAUUGAAACUGUUUAGCUUGAGGAUGAGAGAGGUGAGUGGAAUUCCCAGUGUAGCGGUGAAAUGUGUAGAGAUCGGGAGGAACACCGGUGGCGAAGGCGGGUCUCUGGGCAUCUCCUGACGCUGAGGCGCGAAAGCGUGGGGAGCAAACGGG